UACCGCAUACGACCUUCGGAUCGCAUGGUCUGAAGAUGAAAGAUGGCCUCUCUUUGAAGCUGUCGUUGAAGGAUGGUUCCGCCUCCAAUUAGCUAGUAGGUGGGGUAAUGGCCUACCAAGGCGACGAUUGGUAGCCGGCCUGAGAGGGUGUCCGGCCACACUGGGACUGAGAUACGGCCCAGACUCCUACGGGAGGCAGCAGUCGAGAAGCUUCCGCAAUGGGGGAAACCCUGACGGAGCGACGCCGCGUGAACGAAGAAGGUCCUAUGGAUUGUAAAGUUCUGUCAGAUUGGGAAGAAAACCUUGGGGUUAAUACCCUCAAGGCUUGACGGUACCAUCAGAGGAAGCACCGGCUAACUCCGUGCCAGCAGCCGCGGUAAUACGGAGGGUGCAAGCGUUGUUCGGAUUCACUGGGUAUAAAGGGUGCGCAGGCGGCUUGAUAAGUCAGAGGUGAAAUAUGUCGGCUCAACCGGCAAACGGCCCCUGAAACUGUCAAGCUUGAGUCCGGGAGAGGUAGGUGGAAUUCCAGGUGUAGCGGUGAAAUGCGUAAAUAUCUGGAGGAACACCGGUGGCGAAGGCGGCCUACUGGCCCGGAACUGACGCUCAGGCACGAAAGCAUGGGGAGCGAACGGGAUUAGAUACCCCGGUAGUCCAUGCCGUAAACGAUGGGUACUAGGUGUUGGAGGAUUCUACCCCUUCAGUGCCGCAGCUAACGCAUUAAGGACCCCACCUGGGGAGUACGAUCGCAAGGUUGAAACUCAAAGGAAUUGACGGGGGCCCGCACAAGCGGUGGAGCAUGUGGUUUAAUUCGAUGCAACGCGAAGAACCUUACCUGGGCUUGACAUGCAGGGGACAGAUGUAGAAAUACAUCCUUCUUCGGACUCCUGUACAGGUGCUGCAUGGCUGUCGUCAGCUCGUGUCGUGAAAUGUUAGGUUAAGUCCUGCAACGAGCGCAACCCCUAUCUUUAGUUGCCAUCAGGUUAUGCUGGGGACUCUAGAGAGACUGCCGGUGACAAACCGGAGGAAGGUGGGGACGACGUCAAGUCAUCAUGGCCCUUACGCCCAGGGCUACACACGUGCUACAAUGGUCGGUACAAUGGGCUGCAAUACAGCGAUGUGGAGCGAAUCCCAAAAAGCCGGCCUCAGUUCGGAUCGUAGUCUGCAACUCGACUACGUGAAGUUGGAAUCGCUAGUAAUCGCGUAUCAGAACGACGCGGUGAAUACGUUCCCGGGCCUUGUACC
This 1242-nucleotide ribosomal RNA is filed under the name metagenome. RNAcentral describes it as "bacterial SSU rRNA". It matches the Rfam family "Bacterial small subunit ribosomal RNA", at positions 167 to 1387 of the family's 1533-position model. The record is from RNAcentral.